This is a long non-coding RNA of Taeniopygia guttata (zebra finch), 2248 nucleotides long. RefSeq lists it as uncharacterized. The record is from RefSeq and is a predicted model, not a curated record. Lineage: Eukaryota; Metazoa; Chordata; Aves; Passeriformes; Estrildidae.
GGAGGAGCACAUUACCCCUCCAUUCCAGGCAGCUAGCAAGCUAGAAAGCUCCCAAGCUUUCCUGAGGGCACCACUAGCACAAAAGGCUCUGGCAGUCAAACUGUAAUUAUUCCCAGGGGACAAUCCUCCGGAAGGGCCUCAUCUAUCCUGGCCAUCUGCCUUGGUCACAGCCAGCAAUGCUCCCAGCAGCAGCAGCAGAAGACUCCAGCACACAGACACAGCCGUGCCAGGGCUCCGUGGUUCGUCUGGCCUGGACAAAGCUGUCAGAACAAGAUAUGCCAGGCUCAGAGUUCGAUCUGCUGCUGAAGAUGUGAGAGUCUAAUGUCAUCUUUCAAAUUUAAAUACCAAAGGUAUAAAGGAAGGUUUUACUUGUCUCCAGCAAGAAGCAAAUCUGACCCAAAGCUAGACUGGGAAUUGAAGACCUUACUUUGUCAUAAAACCAGCUUUUCAAGUUUGGAUUCGUAUCUUCAGCCUACAGGCAGACUUGUCCCAGCUGCAUUGUCAUCCUGGCACCUGGUGCAACACAGUGCUACUCAUCUAGAAUAGCCAAAACAGUCAGGCUGGAGGAAAAAGGCGACAGUGGAUCUUGGGAUUUGAAGGCUUGGAUUCAUUUAAGAGAAACAUAAAUAAAAUAUUGCAGCCAUAACCAAAGCAUAAGCAAAAAGAGAGUGCAUCUGGGCCACUGUGAAUCCCAGCAGGGAAUGCGGGAAGUCUGUGAACUCAGCCAGCAAGAUCCUCUGGUCAUUUUAUGCACACACCCUUACUUUACUACCUCAUGGACCCCUGAAAAAGCCUCUCUUCCAUCUUUGGGCAAAAAGCUGUUGCUGGCUACUCCCAUCUCCCUGAGCCUGUACACGCUGCUAACCCAUUGUAGUGCAACCUGUGGUGAGGCUGUUGAGCCCAUCUCAGCACGGCGCCAACCCACCACUGCCUUCACCUUGGCUGGGAUACUGAGAAGAGGCUGCAAUACCUAUUAAUCAUAAACCCUGGUGAUUAAAUCCAUCUAGCUAUUUCACUCAGCUACAAGCAGGGGCAAGGGCUGUCCUGGAAGCCAGCUCUGUCCUGCUGUCCAGCUGCCUGGCCAUGCACACAAAGCCAAGGAAAGAACUGGGUCUUCAUCUCUGUUUAACUUGUUGCUUGUCAUGGGAUUUCCACCAUGGUAUAACAUUGCCAAGUGUGAGAUUUUUCAGGAUGACAGAAGAAGCUAAAAACUUCCAUCAAGCCUGCUAAAACCUUCACUGAACAUAGGCAGGGGCGAAUGAAGAAGGAUGGACCCUGUUCCUGUCCUGCAGACACCCUGCUUCACACCCUGGGAAAAGGGUAUGUCAGGAUCGCAAGCACAAGUCCAGAACUGUUUAGAAAAUGAAAACCAAAGCUCCCUUGAACAUCUUUGUUUCUAUUCUUAACCACAAUUUAAUUUGCAUUGAUGUUUCCUGACCAAUUCUCUCCUCAAAAUAAUUGAUGGGAAAAAGAUCAAGAGAUGUAAUUAAAAGAGAAACAAACAGAAAACAAAGGGAAGAGGGUAAAUGGGCAUGUGACUUUGGGUCAGGGAAGGAAGAGGAGCAGGUGGUAGAACUGAUGAGGGAGAUUUAAUGAACUGCAAUUGACUUCAAAUAACAAAGGAGGAGGAACCUAAUUCUACCGUUGGAUCUGUACACAUAUGGACUUAUCAUAACAAAUGGUAAUCAAUCCAUCAGCCUUAAAUUAAAGAUAAGGUGGGCAGGAAGGAAGGGAUGGAAUUUAUUCUCUCCUUCCCAUCCCUCCCCCACCAAACAAAAUCUGUUUGCAUGUGUCCGUGUCUUUGUUGUCAGAAUUAGCAUCUGCCAUCUCUCCACUCUCAACAAAAGCAGUCACCUUCCUGUGCUUCACUAUGCCACUGAGGCAGGCCCCUUUAGAAGCUUCCCCUGGAAUUCAGACUCCUGGUUACCCUGAUUCUGCAGUGUGUUUCACUUGACACUGAUCAAGGCUCAGCGGCCUCAGAAAUAUGCUUGUAGGACUCUGUGUGUAAAUGCUCGCUGAGCUUUAAUCAAAUGCACAUCACAGAGAGUCCUGUGUGACAGAAAGCAGAACCACCACUCCUCAGACCUGCCAAGAAGAGCCUCAUCUGCAAUACAAGCACUUUUCCUCUUUUGUAUCAUUUUGUCCCUCACUUUCUCAUUGUAGUACAAGCUGCAGAAAUAUUCUAGGGUUUAUAUGUUAUCUCCUUGUUUCAAGGUGAAGACAAGUUCACUAUGCUUUCUAAAUAUAU